AGAGUUUGAUCAUGGCUCAGAUUGAACGCUGGCGGCAGGCUUAACACAUGCAAGUCGAGCGGAUGAAGGUAGCUUGCUACUGGAUUCAGCGGCGGACGGGUGAGUAAUGCUUAGGAAUCUGCCUAUUAGUGGGGGACAACGUUCCGAAAGGGGCGCUAAUACCGCAUACGUCCUACGGGAGAAAGCAGGGGACCUUCGGGCCUUGCGCUAAUAGAUGAGCCUAAGUCGGAUUAGCUAGUUGGUAGGGUAAAGGCCUACCAAGGCGACGAUCUGUAGCGGGUCUGAGAGGAUGAUCCGCCACACUGGGACUGAGACACGGCCCAGACUCCUACGGGAGGCAGCAGUGGGGAAUAUUGGACAAUGGGGGGAACCCUGAUCCAGCCAUGCCGCGUGUGUGAAGAAGGCCUUUUGGUUGUAAAGCACUUUAAGCGAGGAGGAGGCUACCUAGAUUAAUACUUUAGGAUAGUGGACGUUACUCGCAGAAUAAGCACCGGCUAACUCUGUGCCAGCAGCCGCGGUAAUACAGAGGGUGCGAGCGUUAAUCGGAUUUACUGGGCGUAAAGCGUGCGUAGGCGGCCAAUUAAGUCAAAUGUGAAAUCCCCGAGCUUAACUUGGGAAUUGCAUUCGAUACUGGUUGGCUAGAGUAUGGGAGAGGAUGGUAGAAUUCCAGGUGUAGCGGUGAAAUGCGUAGAGAUCUGGAGGAAUACCGAUGGCGAAGGCAGCCAUCUGGCCUAAUACUGACGCUGAGGUACGAAAGCAUGGGGAGCAAACAGGAUUAGAUACCCUGGUAGUCCAUGCCGUAAACGAUGUCUACUAGCCGUUGGGGCCCUUGAGGCUUUAG
Molecule: ribosomal RNA, 841 nt
Filed under: Acinetobacter sp. 230853
Lineage: Bacteria; Pseudomonadati; Pseudomonadota; Gammaproteobacteria; Moraxellales; Moraxellaceae
Description: bacterial SSU rRNA
Rfam family: Bacterial small subunit ribosomal RNA
Source: RNAcentral